Long non-coding RNA from Grammomys surdaster, 1722 nucleotides. RefSeq lists it as uncharacterized. NCBI's taxonomy places the organism in Eukaryota, Metazoa, Chordata, Mammalia, Rodentia, Muridae. The record is from RefSeq and is a predicted model, not a curated record. The transcript has 2 exons.
UUGGAGUUAUGAAGUUAAUGUUAAAGGAAAACUACAGAUGUGACUAAUUGUGAAGAGAAUUCAUCUUCUCUUAAGGGAGUGCAUCUCUGAGUGCUCUCCUUCAUUGCUAACUGCUUUACUUUCCUUUUUGAUAAGGGAGCAUAACAAUAUUAUCUUAUGAAGCCAGAAGACUAAAAAGAUAGUACAUACAAAAGCCUCUGAAGUAUGGGAAGAGCUAUUCAAUCCCGGAGAUAAUGUGUAUGUUCUACCUGGUUCUGAUGUCAACUUGACCUGCCAAACAAAGGAGAAAGACUUCUUGGUACAGAUGCAGUGGUCCAAGGUCACAGAUAAGACUGAGUUUAUUGCUGUUUAUCAUCCCCAGUAUGGCUUCUACUGUAGGCAGGCGCAUGCCUGUGAGUCUCAAGUGGCUGCCAUAAAAUCUCUGAAGGGUGUAACAAAUUGGACUUUAUACUUAAGGAAUAUCUAUCCCACCCUCAGUGGAAAGUAUGAGUGCAUCUUUACUCUGUAUCCAGAAGGCAUCAAGACUACAGUCUACAACCUCAUUGUGGAACCCUGUGUGUAUAACCUUCCCAAGGAACACCUUCACUGCUUUCAUGUACCUUUCAUUCAUUUAGCAAAUACACAAAGACAGGAACCAUGUUCUACAUUUGGUAUUGAACACACAAAGACUUAGGAGAAAGAAACAUUAUCUGAUAAGGGAAGUAGCACAGAUCAAAUAAUGCUACAGAUAAAUGUAAACUUGCAACAGUGGUAAGUUUUAAGAACUACAAUAGUUGAGAGCAUAGCAGAGUCCAGAAAAAUGGUCAUUGAGAAAGGAGCACCUAAAGAAUGAGGAAUGAGUAGUCAUUACUGCAAUUUAGAAGAAAUGGGGGUUGGGAGUGAGCUAGAAGUGGGGUGGGGACAGCCAUGGGGCAUGCUUUGCAAAGUUUACGAAUUUAGAAAUAUGCAUGUAGGGAUACAGUAGAGACACAGUGAGGACGAGAUCAUGACAGACUUUGUUGGCUGUGUUCAAAGCUGACUUCUACAAAAGAAUCAUACAAAGAAAUGUAAUUUUUUUCAACAAGAGGUUAAGAUGACAUUUGUAGUUUGUGUUCAUGUUAUAAAGAGAUGACCCUGGCUUCAGUAGGAGAACUCCCUUACAGUGGACAAGAAAAAUGGGAACAGAUUAGAAGAUGAAUUUUGACUGUCCAGAAGAAAUGUAAUGGCAGUCUGGUAGAUAUGAAAAGGGGUGUGUACAUUUUACAUACUGAGUAUAGAAUACACAUGACUUGAUCAUAGAGUGGAUGUAGGACAAGGGCAGUGAGUGAAGAAGGAAGACACUUAGAAGGCAACAUUGAAAUUCUGCAUAGUGGUGCCAGCAGGUGGGAUACAAGAUGAAGGAAGUAGAGUGACUUUUUGAGUGAACUUACAAAAGCGAAUCUGGAUAUUUACUAGAGGGCAGGGAAAUGGGCCAUCAAAGCUCCUGAACAUUCAGGAGCAUUCAGACUGUUCAGGUUUCAAGGGCCUGCAUUCACGAUGGAGGCCUGAAUUUAAGCUCUAUGCUCAUUCUGCCUACAAAUGAAGUUGACUUGGGGCCUGCCUUGUAAGUUCUCUGAACCUGUUUUGGAAAUUAUUCUGAUAAUAUCUGUUCUACAUGAUCCAGUUCUAAGGUAAAAUGAUUUCGAUUCCUACUAAUGGGAAUAGAUGACAAUAAAAACCAGCAAAUGGAAAGUGCAUUGGAAA